RNAcentral lists this ribosomal RNA (155 nucleotides) under uncultured bacterium. RNAcentral's name for it is "partial 16S ribosomal RNA". It matches the Rfam family "Bacterial small subunit ribosomal RNA", at positions 338 to 508 of the family's 1533-position model. The record is from RNAcentral.
CCUACGGGAGGCAGCAGUGGGGGAAUCUUGCGCAAUGGGCGAAAGCCUGACGCAGCAACGCCGCGUGCGGGAUGACGGCCUUCGUGGUUGUAAACCGCUUUCAGCAGGGACGAAAAUGACGGUACCUGCAGAAGAAGCCCCGGCUAACUACGUGC